AGGGUUUGAUUCUGGCUCAGGAUGAACGCUAGCGACAGGCUUAACACAUGCAAGUCGAGGGGCAGCGGUGUUGAAGGCUUGCCUUCAACAGCCGGCGACCGGCGCACGGGUGAGUAACACGUAUGCAACCUGGCCGUCACAGGAGGAUAACCGGUAGAAAUGCCGCCUAAUACUCCAUGAUACUCUCAGGGGACAUCCCCUGAGGGUCAAAGGAAUUUAUUCCGGUGACGGAUGGGCAUGCGGCGCAUUAGCUAGUCGGCGGGGUAACGGCCCACCGAGGCGACGAUGCGUAGGGGUUCUGAGAGGAAGGUCCCCCACAUUGGAACUGAGACACGGUCCAA
Molecule: ribosomal RNA, 341 nt
Filed under: uncultured bacterium
Lineage: Bacteria
Description: bacterial SSU rRNA
Rfam family: Bacterial small subunit ribosomal RNA
Source: RNAcentral